UACGGAGGGCGCAAGCGUUGUUCGGAAUCACUGGGCGUAAAGCGGGUGUAGGCGGCUUGGCAAGUCGGGUGUGAAAGCCCGGGGCCUAACCCCGGAACUGCAUUCGAAACUGCCUCGCUCGAGUCCCGGAGAGGAUGGUGGAAUUCCAGGUGUAGUGGUGAAAUACGUAGAUAUCGGGAGGAGGACCAGCGGCGAAGGCGGCCAUCUGGACGGUGACUGACGCUGAGACGCGAAAGCGUGGGGAGCAAACAGG
RNAcentral lists this ribosomal RNA (253 nucleotides) under uncultured bacterium. Its description in RNAcentral is "partial 16S ribosomal RNA". It matches the Rfam family "Bacterial small subunit ribosomal RNA", at positions 524 to 776 of the family's 1533-position model. The record is from RNAcentral.